GAUGAACGCUAGCGGCAGGCUUAACACAUGCAAGUCGAGGGGUAUAGUUUUUCGGAACUAGAGACCGGCGCACGGGUGCGUAACGCGUAUGCAAUCUACCUUUUGCAGAGGGAUAGCCCAGAGAAAUUUGGAUUAAUACCUCAUAGUAUAGCGACAUCGCAUGAUGAUGCUAUUAAAGUCACAACGGCAAAAGAUGAGCAUGCGUCCCAUUAGCUAGUUGGUAAGGUAACGGCUUACCAAGGCAACGAUGGGUAGGGGUCCUGAGAGGGAGAUCCCCCACACUGGUACUGAGACACGGACCAGACUCCUACGGGAGGCAGCAGUGAGGAAUAUUGGACAAUGGGCGCAAGCCUGAUCCAGCCAUGCCGCGUGCAGGAUGACGGUCCUAUGGAUUGUAAACUGCUUUUAACGAGAAGAAACACUCCAACGUGUUGGAGCUUGACGGUAUCGUAAGAAUAAGGAUCGGCUAACUCCGUGCC
This 479-nucleotide ribosomal RNA is filed under the name uncultured bacterium. Its description in RNAcentral is "bacterial SSU rRNA". It matches the Rfam family "Bacterial small subunit ribosomal RNA", at positions 28 to 509 of the family's 1533-position model. The record is from RNAcentral.